ACCGGUAUCGAAAGGUAUCGCUGAGCGUGCAGAAGUCAGCAGAGGCCGUAGUAGCUGAGAAAGCAGUGAAGGGC
RNAcentral lists this non-coding RNA (74 nucleotides) under chicken gut metagenome. The record is from RNAcentral.